ACAACAUUUGGACCGUCGGUCUAUCAAGCAAAUAUCACCCGCUCGGUGGAAGAUCUUCCCUUGUCGU
Molecule: microRNA precursor, 67 nt
Filed under: Bombyx mori (domestic silkworm)
Lineage: Eukaryota; Metazoa; Arthropoda; Insecta; Lepidoptera; Bombycidae
Description: mir-2774 microRNA precursor family
Rfam family: mir-2774 microRNA precursor family
Source: Rfam by way of RNAcentral